This 736-nucleotide long non-coding RNA is filed under the name Marmota monax (woodchuck). Lineage: Eukaryota; Metazoa; Chordata; Mammalia; Rodentia; Sciuridae. The record is from RNAcentral.
CCUGCCUCAGCCUCCUCACUGUGCCUCCGUGCCCUGUCCUUUAAGUGUCCUACCAUUUCUGGACACUAUUAUCCUGGGGACACCCGUGUAGCACACGAGCCUUGGGGGGUGAACCACACCAAACCACAGCACCCACCAACCUCAGGACGAGGCCAGGAUUACGAAGUCGCAGUGCGGAGCCGGGGGCGACUCUCCCAAAUCCCACUGUGUGCGGUGACUGCUGAGUUGUCCGAGGCCACCCCUGACUGGACCCAAGGGUCCCAUCCUGGGCUGGACGUUGGCCGUGGUGGGAACGAGGGCUGCUCAGGCUCUACGCGGCCCCGGGGGUCUCCACACCCAGGGGGCUCCUCCGCCCUCCCUCUCCCGCCCUCAGGUGGACCCUGCAGGCUGUGGUCCCUCACCCAGGUCGGACGGCUGCCUUGCCACGUCCCCGUCCGUUCCUGUCCCACCACCCACCUCACCUCUGCAGCAUUUCUGCCGGUCAGGCCCACUGUGACCACUUCCCCAAACACAGGCCCCAGGACCCUGGGAGGAGGCAGUGUUAAACUUGUCCUUUUACCCCCUGAGCAGGGGCCACAAGGACCUCAGGAGCCUGGCACAAAGGGAAACAGGUGGCUCGUCCCCGACUCCAGGGGUGGGGGGUGGGCUCCAGGUACAGAGUGGCAGGCAAGUCUGUGAGGGCCAGCGCUACGGCUGGAAGGUGUCCCUCCAAAGUCCACGUGUCGGGAAUGCAGGC